Long non-coding RNA from Ailuropoda melanoleuca (giant panda), 1281 nucleotides. RefSeq lists it as uncharacterized. NCBI's taxonomy places the organism in Eukaryota, Metazoa, Chordata, Mammalia, Carnivora, Ursidae. The transcript has 2 exons. The record is from RefSeq and is a predicted model, not a curated record.
ACACGGGAAGGGAAGCCACACGGCCUCCACCCUGCGCACCGCAGUGCGCUAUCUGGCCCUCCCAUCUGGCCGUGGCCGUUUGUCUCCAGGGCUGGCAUCGAUGAGACGGUGCAAGGAAACGAGCUCGCGGGUACAAGAGGCCCCGUACUCAAUGCCGCUUCCCUGAAGACGUGCACGCAGCCAGGCCACGGGGUGUGGGCGUGUCCACUACGCCCCCGCUCUCAGGAGCAGGCGAUGAAGAGCCCGUGUCCUCGUGUCCUGCAGCUCACGGAGCCUGUGUUGUGUUCUCUGCUUUGUGGGUCAACACGGGACGUGCCCAACCCCCGAUGAUGCAAACAGCCCAGCGUCCACAGAUGGACGGAGAAAUGCAACAGGGCCCAUGUGUGGAUGGAAUACGACUGAGCCACGAACAGGAACGGAGCUCUGAUGCCUGCUGCCCCGUGCACGGCCUCUGGGGACACGAUACUCCUAUGAGAAGCCAGACUCACAGGGCAGGUCAUGUGUGGUCCUGCAGGAAAGGCAAAUGCCCGGAGACCGGGAAGGAGACAGACACUUGCUGGCUACAGAACGGUGCUGUGGAUGCACGAUCUCCUGGUGGAAUAUGAACCCUGAAACCAAGCGUCUGUGCCCCAGGACGAACCCGUGACGAUCACGUACACACGUGCACAAGUACACGCACACGCACACGCACAGCCUCCUUGGCAAACAGGAAGCACACUCUUGCAACAAUCGUCCAGGACGUCUGACCUGCACUCUGCUCUGAACCUAAGGGUUCGCGCUGGAAAGCGCCCAGGGGUGGGCGUCAUUGAUAAGCUGGGGGAUGACUGGCAGUCAUGACCCACUGCACGUGCACACGUGGUUCGUUCCCCAGACGCCUUGCAUCCCAGAGAGCUCGAGAAAGCCAGACAUACGUGUGCUGGUGUGGUUGCCAUGCAACCAUUCGGGACACAGUCAUGGUGUCAAGCUGCUGGGGCACAGCCCGCGCAGAGCCUGGACGCCAUUGGCGAGAGUGGAGGUCAACACUUGGGACAUCCUUUACGAAUGGGAUUUCUAGAGGGCCUGCCCCAUGGCAAGCAACUGCGGGGCCCACCUGGGCUUGUAAGACGGGGAAAGACACGGCAGGGUAGCCCUGGGCCAAAAAUGCCAGGAGGCGUCAUCUGCUUGGUGAACCCACCAAGUCAGGUCACUCUUCUGCCUUUGACCUUGGGAUUCCUUGUCUUGGGUCUCUUCUUGUCUUGGUUGGAAAUGGGGUUCAUUAAAUUGUCUCCUGUUAAUAUAUCA